Molecule: long non-coding RNA, 891 nt
Organism: Oncorhynchus gorbuscha (pink salmon)
Lineage: Eukaryota; Metazoa; Chordata; Actinopteri; Salmoniformes; Salmonidae
Exons: 3
Source: RefSeq, a predicted model, not a curated record
AUUGGCCUGGUAUUAAAUUAGGGGGUGUGACAGGAGUUUUUUUUUAUCACUCUCUAAUUUGGUUAAUGCCCCUGGAGUAUGUAAUCAUAUCGAUGGCAACGUCCUGGACUGGUUCGUUAGUAUAUUCAUGGUUCCAGGGAUAUUAGUUCAAAUAAACUUUGGUCGUUUGCCUUGUGGAUCAAUUCUGACAAGUCUUUUGACUAUGGUUUUAUGGGGAACCUACUUUAUAGUGUGAGCUUUAUUGUGAUUUUAGCUGGCGUAGUCGGCUAGCUAGAGAGUACAACUACAUUACUGUGUUCUAUGGUCCAGAAUUCAAGUGAGAAUAAUCCUUUCAUAAUCAGUGUCCUCCAGUAUUCACACAGGAAUAUUUCACAGACGGUCAUUGAACAUGGUAAUUGAAAAACAAUCCAUCUCCAUGGUUGAGUUAAGGAGCUAAAUUCAAGAGCUAUAUGCAUGAAGGACAGCUCGGCAUGUCCGAAUUUGAUUAGCUGCUCUUGCUGGGUACAUAAAUGAAUUAAUCCUGCCUUUUGUCCUUCAGAUGCAUUCACCGAGAUCCCUUGUGGGAGAAAGGAAGUUAAUUAAGAUCAUGGUAAAGGAGAGAACCACACCUUUGCCGUGGCAAUCUCCAGGAUGAGGCGUUCCCACGGAAGUCCUGGGGUCACUGACGCCAGGAGAGGUGUGAAGACUGAUAACUUUAAUCAACAAAAUGGAAGCUGUUUGUCUGAUGGCUGUCAGCUCGAAGUGGAACGACACAGGUGCACUCCUACAGUAUCAUACAGUUUUGGGGUGUGGUGAUUACUUUAGAGAAUUCGUGUGAGGUUUUAUGCCUUUUGUUUUAAUGUUUUGGGCCAUGCAAAGUGAUGCUAAUUAGACGUGAGGAGAUACUGGGAU